This 17-nucleotide unclassified non-coding RNA is filed under the name Mus musculus (house mouse). RNAcentral's name for it is "oocyte_clustered_small_RNA3877". Lineage: Eukaryota; Metazoa; Chordata; Mammalia; Rodentia; Muridae. The record is from RNAcentral.
UAAGAAUAGUUUGGGGG